This 231-nucleotide unclassified non-coding RNA is filed under the name Hevea brasiliensis (rubber tree). Lineage: Eukaryota; Viridiplantae; Streptophyta; Magnoliopsida; Malpighiales; Euphorbiaceae. The record is from RNAcentral.
GCUUCACCACCACUCCAAGCCUCUAAAAAUAAAAAAAAAGUCAGUGCCCGGCCAUGAAUUCGCGAAGUGCGAUUCUGGAAGGAAGAAUUCAGAGACAGUCCAGUCCUACUGUGAUAUACAGAAAAAUAAAAAUAACAAAAGAAAGCAGAAAUUAAGUAAAUGGAAUUGAUUGGGUUCAUUGCUCCAUCAACAAGAAGGAAAAUGGCCAACCCACUUGCAAAAUCAAAUUAA